RNAcentral lists this ribosomal RNA (253 nucleotides) under uncultured bacterium. RNAcentral's name for it is "partial 16S ribosomal RNA". It matches the Rfam family "Archaeal small subunit ribosomal RNA", at positions 474 to 727 of the family's 1478-position model. The record is from RNAcentral.
UACCAGCACCCCGAGUGGUCGGGACGUUUAUUGGGCCUAAAGCAUCCGUAGCCGGUCUUGCAAGUCUUCCGUUAAAUCCAGCUGCUUAACAGAUGGGCUGCGGAAGAUACUACAAGACUAGGAGGUGGGAGAGGCAAGCGGUACUCAGUGGGUAGGGGUAAAAUCCUCUGAUCCAUUGAAGACCACCAGUGGCGAAGGCGGCUUGCCAGAACGCGCUCGACGGUGAGGGAUGAAAGCUGGGGGAGCAAACCGG